This 459-nucleotide ribosomal RNA is filed under the name uncultured Lysobacterales bacterium. RNAcentral's name for it is "bacterial SSU rRNA". It matches the Rfam family "Bacterial small subunit ribosomal RNA", at positions 341 to 792 of the family's 1533-position model. Lineage: Bacteria; Pseudomonadati; Pseudomonadota; Gammaproteobacteria; Lysobacterales. The record is from RNAcentral.
ACGGAAGGCAGCAGUGGGGAAUAUUGGACAAUGGGGGAAACCCUGAUCCAGCGACGCCGCGUGGGUGAAGAAGGCCUGCGGGUUGUAAAGCCCUUUCGGUAGGGACGAAAGCCUCCGACCUAACACGUCGGGGGGUUGACUUAACCUACAGAAGAAGCACCGGCUAACUCUGUGCCAGCAGCCGCGGUAAUACAGAGGGUGCGAGCGUUAAUCGGAAUUACUGGGCGUAAAGCGCACGUAGGCGGCUUGGUAUGUCGGGUGUGAAAUCCCCGGGCUCAACCUGGGAACUGCAUCCGAAACUGCCUUGCUCGAGUAUGGGAGAGGGAAGUGGAAUUUCCGGUGUAGCGGUGAAAUGCGUAGAUAUCGGAAGGAACAUCAGUGGCGAAGGCGACUUCCUGGACCAAUACUGACGCUCAGGUGCGAAAGCGUGGGGAGCAAACAGGAUUAGAUACCCUGGUA